AAAAGAAAAUGGGUAAUUGCCCGCCAACAUCUGCGAAGUUGUGGCGGGAGGAAAGUCCGGACACCAUCCCCGCUUUGGCGGGGGAAGCGUACGGGUUAACGACCCGCCGUAGUAAUACGAGAGGUGCGAACAGAGACGUCCCGAUUCGAAAGAAUCGCGGACGCCCCGUCGUAUGACGGGGCGUAACUCUGCAGUAAUGCAGAGAGUGAAACGGCUAAAUCCUUACUGGGUGCAAGUCCGUAUGGACGCUAGAGCUUUAGAGCAAUCUAAUGCCCAGAGAGAUAAUUACCGUCCCCCUAUGGGGGAUACAGAAUCCGGCUUACAGUUUUCUUCUAAGC
RNAcentral lists this RNase P RNA (338 nucleotides) under Patescibacteria group bacterium. RNAcentral describes it as "RNase P RNA component class A". It matches the Rfam family "Bacterial RNase P class A". From Rfam's summary of the family: Ribonuclease P (RNase P) is a ubiquitous endoribonuclease, found in archaea, bacteria and eukarya as well as chloroplasts and mitochondria. The record is from RNAcentral.